UGGGGAAUAUUGGACAAUGGGCGCAAGCCUGAUCCAGCCAUGCCGCGUGAGUGAUGAAGGCCUUAGGGUUGUAAAGCUCUUUUACCAGGGAUGAUAAUGACAGUACCUGGAGAAUAAGCUCCGGCUAACUCCGUGCCAGCAGCCGCGGUAAUACGGAGGGAGCUAGCGUUGUUCGGAAUCACUGGGCGUAAAGCGCGCGUAGGCGGCUACUUAAGUCAGAGGUGAAAGCCCGGGGCUCAACCCCGGAACUGCCUUUGAAACUAGGUAGCUAGAAUUCUGGAGAGGUGAGUGGAAUUCCGAGUGUAGAGGUGAAAUUCGUAGAUAUUCGGAAGAACACCAGUGGCGAAGGCGACUCACUGGACAGAUAUUGACGCUGAGGUGCGAAAGCGUGGGGAGCAAACAGGAUUAGAUACCCCCGUAGUCC
Molecule: ribosomal RNA, 424 nt
Filed under: uncultured prokaryote
Description: bacterial SSU rRNA
Rfam family: Bacterial small subunit ribosomal RNA
Source: RNAcentral